ACUCCUACGGGAGGCAGCAGUGGGGAAUCUUGGACAAUGGGGGCAACCCGUGCAUCCAGCCAUGCCGCGUGAGUGAUGAAGGCCUUAGGGUCGUAAAGCUCUUUCGCCUGUGAAGAUAAUGACGGUAGCAGGUAAAGAAACCCCGCGUACAUCCGUGCCAGCAGCCGCGGUAAUACGGAGGGGGUUAGCGUUGUUCGGAAUUACUGGGCGUAAAGCGCACGUAGGCGGAUCGGAAAGUUGGGGGUGAAAUCCCGGGGCUC
RNAcentral lists this ribosomal RNA (260 nucleotides) under uncultured bacterium. RNAcentral describes it as "partial 16S ribosomal RNA". It matches the Rfam family "Bacterial small subunit ribosomal RNA", at positions 335 to 610 of the family's 1533-position model. The record is from RNAcentral.